GCAUUUCCCAGCGUGCAAACACGCGCUUUCGGCGCGCGCUUCCCAACUAAAUUACAACAAAAACAAAGAAAAUUUAUUCCCAGAAACAACAAUUAAAAACAUUAAAUA
Molecule: long non-coding RNA, 108 nt
Organism: Drosophila obscura
Lineage: Eukaryota; Metazoa; Arthropoda; Insecta; Diptera; Drosophilidae
Exons: 2
Source: RefSeq, a predicted model, not a curated record